Molecule: small RNA, 852 nt
Filed under: Pan troglodytes (chimpanzee)
Lineage: Eukaryota; Metazoa; Chordata; Mammalia; Primates; Hominidae
Description: processed transcript
Source: RNAcentral
UGCUGGAGAGAAGCCGGGAGCGAACCUAGGCUGCAGUUUUUAGGUCUGUCAGUACUGCACUGCAAGAAUGGCAGAUUUUGGGAUCUCUGCUGGCCAGUUUGUGGCAGUGGUCUGGGAUAAGUCAUCCCCAGUGGAGGCUCUGAAAGGUCUGGUGGAUAAGCUUCAAGCGUUAACCGGCAAUGAGGGCCGCGUGUCUGUGGAAAACAUCAACCAGCUGUUGCAAUCUGCCCACAAAGAAUCCAGCUUUGACAUUAUUUUGUCGGGUUUAGUCCCAGGAAGCACCACUCUGCACAGUGCUGAGAUUUUGGCUGAAAUCGCCCGGAUCCUUCGGCCUGGUGGAUGUCUUUUUCUGAAAGAGCCAGUAGAGACAGCUGUAGAUAACAAUAGCAAAGUGAAGACAGCAUCUAAGUUGUGUUCAGCCCUGACUCUUUCUGGUCUUGUGGAAGUGAAAGAGCUGCAGCGGGAGCCCCUAACCCCUGAGGAAGUACAGUCUGUUCGAGAACACCUUGGUCAUGAAAGUGACAACCUGCUGUUUGUUCAGAUCACAGGCAAAAAACCAAACUUUGAAGUGGGUUCUUCUAGGCAGCUUAAGUUUUCCAUCACCAAGAAGUCUUCUCCUUCAGUGAAGCCUGCUGUGGACCCUGCUGCUGCCAAGCUGUGGACACUCUCAGCCAACGAUAUGGAGGACGACAGCAUGUGCAUCUUCUGUGGAUGUAGUUUAACUCACCAUUGGCCUCUUGAGCAUGUGGUCAGGUUGAACAUGAUGAUCAACCAAAAGGAGGACAGGGUGGACACCUUCUUUACCCUGGACUCCCAAGUUUCCUCUCGAAGCCUGCAGUCACUUUAGCUUUU